UGUGAUUACUUUAAUAAAAUUCUUGUUUAGAACAUGUUUUUUUUAAUUCAUAGAAAUCUAACUUAAGUUGAAUGUAGCAUGAAGUUGUCGGAACUAUGAUAGGAAUUUUCUGGGGUCAAAAAACUUAAAUGGGAAAUAUGUUAGCAUAUUCUUUUUUAUAUUUACUGUCGGGUUUGUUACUCGUGAUGUGUGGAUUCAGUAAAAUGUGUCCCCGUGCCUGUAGUGUAUUCCCUUCUAUUUUUACAGUUAGGGGUUUUUUACUUGUGAGAGAGCUGUCUACUUAUUCUAUUAUCAUGAUUAUUAAUGGUCUCUUGUGGACAGUUGUCUCAUUGACAAUCAUACCACAUCUUAUUUUUUAUAUUUACUGCAGGGUUUGUUACUCGUGCUGUGUGGAUUCAGUAAAAUGUGUACCCGUGCCUGUAGUGUAUGCCAAGAAUAUGCAAUUAAUGUGAAUAUCUCAUUGACAAUGAGGCUGUCAGGGUGACAGCAAACCGGGUUUUUUUUUUACAUUUUUUUGUCUUAGCAUUUUUCAGUACCACAAGGAACCAUAAAAGUAACAAUCAUCAAUAUUUAAUUUAACCUCCAUUUUG
This 590-nucleotide long non-coding RNA is filed under the name Mytilus galloprovincialis (Mediterranean mussel). The record is from RNAcentral. Lineage: Eukaryota; Metazoa; Mollusca; Bivalvia; Mytilida; Mytilidae.